GACGUAGGUGGCGAACGUUGUUCGGAAUCACUGGGCGUAAAGCGCUCGCAGGCGGGUGCGGAAGUCGGGGGUGAAAGGCCGGGGCUCAACCCCGGAUCGUUCUCUCGAUACUCCGUGCCUAGGGACCGGUAGAGGCCAGUAGAAUUCCCGGAGUAGCGGUGGAAUGCGUAGAUAUCGGGAAGAACACCAGAGGCGAAGGCGACUGGCUGGGCCGGAUCCGACGCUGAGGCGCGAAAGCGUGGGGAGCAAACAGG
This 254-nucleotide unclassified non-coding RNA is filed under the name uncultured Gemmatimonadota bacterium. Its description in RNAcentral is "uncultured Gemmatimonadetes bacterium contains 16S-23S intergenic spacer region". It matches the Rfam family "Bacterial small subunit ribosomal RNA", at positions 524 to 776 of the family's 1533-position model. Lineage: Bacteria; Pseudomonadati; Gemmatimonadota. The record is from RNAcentral.